AGUACUAUGAGCCUGCUUCGUUAGAAAAAAUGGUCUGGUAUGAACUCUGUUUCUUUUAUUUUCAGCCUGUUGAGUGAUCUUUUAUAUGAGAUACAACUAUCUAAGCUACUAAAUGUUACAUCCCAUUUGCAAGAAAAUUGUGACUGCUUCUGGUCCCUCUGUGAAUAAUUGAGGAUACAUAUUCAAAAUGAAAAAGGCUACAGAGAAUAUGACAAAUUCAAGGCUCAAGAAAAUACAUUGCUGCCUUUAAUUCUUUAAUUUGGAAUUGUACUGGUACUGCGAUGGAUCUAUCAAUCAUCAUUCCAUGUCAAUAAGUUAGUAAAGACUGUGAAAGUGUAUAACAAUAUGUUGCUUCACUUUUGCAGAUACAAUUCAACUAUAUCUGCAAAUGCAAUGUCAAACCUUCUAUUUUGCUGCUAAAAGGUUUUUCAAUCUGCAAGGAAAGAGGCAAAGCACUAACUGAAAAUUGAGUUUGUCUCAACAGGUGAUCUCAUAUUAAGCUUACAUUAAUAAGUUUCAUCUUAGUCUUUUGACCUCUAUUUGGAUUAGUUCAUUAUUAUGCUUUUUCGAAGUUCGAAUUGAAUUAGAAUAGAU
Molecule: long non-coding RNA, 594 nt
Filed under: Solanum tuberosum (potato)
Lineage: Eukaryota; Viridiplantae; Streptophyta; Magnoliopsida; Solanales; Solanaceae
Description: long non-coding RNA (STUB_LNC002705)
Source: RNAcentral